UGGCGGCAGUAGCGCGGUGGUCCCACCUGACCCCAUGCCGAACUCAGAAGUGAAACGCCGUAGCGCCGAUGGUAGUGUGGGGU
Molecule: ribosomal RNA, 83 nt
Filed under: Escherichia coli
Lineage: Bacteria; Pseudomonadati; Pseudomonadota; Gammaproteobacteria; Enterobacterales; Enterobacteriaceae
Source: RNAcentral